UAUAACUGAAACUCUGUAGUAUUUGUUUAGUAGGGUUUCUUGUUUCUGCAGGAGAUCCUCA
This 61-nucleotide small nuclear RNA is filed under the name Chelydra serpentina (North American snapping turtle). RNAcentral describes it as "U7 small nuclear RNA (ENSCSRG00000018300.1)". It matches the Rfam family "U7 small nuclear RNA". Rfam says of the family: Animal histone pre-mRNAs are spliced by a different mechanism than nuclear pre-mRNAs and self-splicing introns. This processing involves the U7 snRNP, which contains only one RNA species: U7. Lineage: Eukaryota; Metazoa; Chordata; Testudines; Chelydridae. The record is from Rfam by way of RNAcentral.